RNAcentral lists this unclassified non-coding RNA (471 nucleotides) under Hevea brasiliensis (rubber tree). Lineage: Eukaryota; Viridiplantae; Streptophyta; Magnoliopsida; Malpighiales; Euphorbiaceae. The record is from RNAcentral.
GUUCAGUUGGCGCCCUAAGAGAACUAUGUGCAAUUGAAGGACUUGGUUUGGCAUUUCAAACUCAGCCUCAACUUUCAGUUAAUCCGGGCCAGAAAAGUGAAAUAUACGCCCAGGUGGAAAUUGAUGGCCAAGUAUUUGGCAAAGGAAUUGGUCCAACGUGGGAUGAUGCUAAAACACAGGCUGCUGAAAGGGCUCUUGUUGCUCUGAAGUCUGAGCUGGCUCAAUUUUCUCACAAGCGCCAGGGUUCUCCAAGAUCAUUGCAGCAGCAGGGAUUUUCUAAUAAAAGAUUGAAACCUGAAUAUUCUCGGGGUGUGCAGCAGAGAGUACCAUUGUCUGGUAGAUUCCCGAAGAAUACUUCCGCUAUGCCAUGAACUAUGUAUAAAGAUCUUCACCUCUGCUUGUACAUCAACCCCAUAGAAAUUUUAACAUACAUGGGAACAUCUGCCGCUGUGAUUUGUGAAGCCAAUUGGG